RNAcentral lists this ribosomal RNA (492 nucleotides) under uncultured bacterium. RNAcentral's name for it is "partial 16S ribosomal RNA". It matches the Rfam family "Bacterial small subunit ribosomal RNA", at positions 355 to 854 of the family's 1533-position model. The record is from RNAcentral.
UGGGGAAUAUUGCACAAUGGGCGAAAGCCUGAUGCAGCAACGCCGCGUGAGGGACGACGGCCUUCGGGUUGUAAACCUCUUUUAGCAAGGAAGAAGCGAAAGUGACGGUACUUGCAGAAAAAGCGCCGGCUAACUACGUGCCAGCAGCCGCGGUAAUACGUAGGGCGCAAGCGUUAUCCGGAAUUAUUGGGCGUAAAGAGCUCGUAGGCGGUUUGUCGCGUCUGCUGUGAAAACCCGAGGCUCAACCUCGGGCCUGCAGUGGGUACGGGCAGACUAGAGUGCGGUAGGGGAGAUUGGAACUCCUGGUGUAGCGGUGGAAUGCGCAGAUAUCAGGAAGAACACCGAUGGCGAAGGCAGAUCUCUGGGCCGUAACUGACGCUGAGGGGCGAAAGGGUGGGGAGCAAACAGGCUUGAGGAUACCCUGGUAGUCCACCCCGUAAACGUUGGGAACUANUUGUGGGGGUCCAUUCCACGGAUUCCGUGACGCAGCUG